This 815-nucleotide ribosomal RNA is filed under the name Heterorhabditis indica. RNAcentral's name for it is "eukaryotic LSU rRNA". The stretch from base 402 to 551 matches the Rfam family "5.8S ribosomal RNA". The record is from RNAcentral. Lineage: Eukaryota; Metazoa; Nematoda; Chromadorea; Rhabditida; Heterorhabditidae.
UCUGUAGGUGAACCUGCAGAUGGAUCAUCGUCGAUACCUUAUAGGUACAUGCUGAUCACGAGAUGCCGAUAAUCAUGGAAUCAGGCUUGUUCUUGGUUCCAGUCGGUGUCUCACCCCAUCUAAGCUCUCGGUGAGGUGUCUAUUCUUGAUUGGAGCCGCUUUGAGUGACGGCAAUGAUAGUUGGGUAUGUUCCCCGUGAGGGUAGAGCAUAGACUUUAUGAACAGAGCUGGGCUGUCGCCUCACCAAAAACCAUCGAUAACUGGUGGCUGAGUGAGAAAUCACUGGAUCUGCUAUGCAGGGAGCCUUAAUGAGUUGGUCUUCACCGACACAACCGCCACUAUCGGUAAUCUAUUCCCAAUUAACUUGUUUCUAGUAAAAGGCUAAAUUAGUCAGUGGAAAAUAGCCUUAGCGAUGGAUCGGUUGAUUCGCGUAUCGAUGAAAAACGCAGCUAGCUGCGUUAUUUACCACGAAUUGCAGACGCUUAGAGUGGUGAAGUUUUGAACGCACAGCGCCGUUGGGUUUUCCCUUCGGCACGUCUGGCUCAGGGUUGUUUAAUAGACUUCGAUAUUGCUAGGAAGGCAGCAAUAUCGUGCACCGAACGGUGAUAGUGUCUAUAAAAUAGUGGUGCAUACCCCGUUUUAGGGUAAAAUAAAGGUCGUAAACUGAAACUUCUUCCGCCCGAGAAGUUAUAGGUAAUACUUAUGGAUGUGCCAUGUAUGAAAUAUGACGUGGUUAUAUACAUAAAUAGUAUUUCCUUGAAGUCUCAUUAUGCAACCUGAGCUCAGUCGUGAUUACCCGCCGAACUUAAGCAUAU